UUUAAAAAAAAAAAAAAAAAAUGGUUCCGCUCUAAUAAAACAACAUCAAACAAUUCCAUAGAUGUUAAAGAAACACUCAUGAGCACCAAGACAAUAGCAACACAUCAUUUAGUGAAAUGUUGAUCGGCUAUGAAUGAGGUUGGGAUAAACUAAAGGUGCCAAGACAGUAGAUUAUGAUUAGGAAAACAUUUUGCAUUUUGGCAAUGAGAUUUUGCAAAAUGCUAACUAUGCAAUUGUGAAUUUGUGCCUGUAUGUUGCAAAAUUUUUGUGUCUGUAUGCUAAAUAGGAAUGAACAAUGGGGCCCCUUAAGCAAUUCUAUAUCAAAAUCAUUCGACCAACAAAAAAAAAUUGACUUGCUCGAAGAUCCAUUAGAACACUCCCUCAAUUCCCCAUUUCUGAAUCGCAGAAGCAAAUUCAAAAAUCCCGAAAUUAAUUCCAAGAGAAGGCGAUUGUAUCAGUGAAUCAAAAUGAAAUCGAAUUUGACAAAAACAUGUACACACAGAGAGCAAGAGGGAAGGAGGAAGAGAGUCGAACCUGUGGGAAAGAGAGAAGACA
This 555-nucleotide unclassified non-coding RNA is filed under the name Hevea brasiliensis (rubber tree). The record is from RNAcentral. Lineage: Eukaryota; Viridiplantae; Streptophyta; Magnoliopsida; Malpighiales; Euphorbiaceae.